CUAUACAUGACUCUGCGCAUAUCAAUAAGCGGAGGAAAAGAAACUAACAAGGAUUCCCCUAGUAACGGCGAGUGAAGCGGGAAGAGCUCAAAUUUGAAAUCUUAAAGGGUUUCCCUUUACGAAUUGUAGUUUAAAGAAGUGUUUUCUGUUGAGGUUUUGGUAAAAGUUCUUUGGAAUAGGACAUCAUAGAGGGUGAGAAUCCCGUAUUUGACCUUUACUUUCAACUUUGUGAUACACUUUCAAAGAGUCGGAUUGUUUGGGAAUGCAGUCCAAAAUGGGUGGUAAAUUUCAUCUAAAGCUAAAUAUUGGCGAGAGACCGAUAGCGAACAAGUACCGUGAGGGAAAGAUGAAAAGGACUUUGAAAAGAGAGUUAAACAGUACGUGAAAUUGUCAAAAGGGAAGCGUUUGACACCAGUGUUGUUUUUCUGAAAAUCAAUUAAAGAACUGUUUAUGCUAAGCUGUUUAGACUUUAUCAGCUAUCUGUUUAGUUUUGAGCUUUUCUUUAAUGCACUUUUCAGUUAACAAGUCAACAUCAAUUUCUUUUGCUGUAAAAAAGCUUGAGGAAGGUGGCUUGAGAUUCGUCUUAAGUGUUUAUAGCCUCUUGCCUAUGCAGUCGGAGAGAUUGAGGUCUGCAGCGUAGAUCCUUCGGGGCUAAAUGCAUUUGUGCUAAGUUAUAGCAUUUUAUAGACAACUUGUUGACAUAUGAUUUGUCUUGUAGCUUACUCGCUUAUGUUAUUUUACCUACGCUUAGGAUGUUGAUCUACAGAGCGAGAGU
Molecule: ribosomal RNA, 775 nt
Filed under: uncultured Neocallimastigales
Lineage: Eukaryota; Fungi; Neocallimastigomycota; Neocallimastigomycetes; Neocallimastigales
Description: partial large subunit ribosomal RNA
Rfam family: Eukaryotic large subunit ribosomal RNA
Source: RNAcentral